This 257-nucleotide ribosomal RNA is filed under the name uncultured bacterium. RNAcentral describes it as "partial 16S ribosomal RNA". It matches the Rfam family "Bacterial small subunit ribosomal RNA", at positions 524 to 776 of the family's 1533-position model. The record is from RNAcentral.
UACGUAGGGUGCGAGCGUUAAUCGGAAUUACUGGGCGUAAAGCGUGCGCAGGCGGUUCGUUGUGUCGGCGGUGAAAGCCCCGGGCUCAACCUGGGAAUGGCCGUUGAAACUGGCGAACUGGAGUGUGGCAGAGGGGGGUGGAAUUCCGGCGUGUAGCAGUGAAAUGCGUAGAGAAUGUGGAGGAACACCGAUGGCGAAGGCAGCCCCCUGGGUCAAGAUUGACGCUCGAUGCACGAAAGCGUGGGGAGCGAAACAGG